AUGGAUGCGCGCUCUACCUCUCUGCUUCUACUGACUUUGAUCCAUCUGCUUUUGCGCAUCUCGGCUCGCGAAUUCCUCUUGCCAGGCUCCUCUCUCUCCAUAGAGGAUAGCUCCGGCGCCCUCCAUUCGCCAAACGGUGCUUUCACCUGCGGCUUCGACAACAUCUCCCCAAAUGCCUCUGUCUUCUCCAUUUGGUUCUCCGACACCGCUGAGAAGACCGUCGUCUGGAGCGCAAAUCAUCUCCACCCGGUGUACUCCUGGGGAUCCCGAGUCAUGCUGCAUGCAGAUGGCAGAAUGGUCGUAGAAGAUUACAGUGGCCAGCCUGCGUGGGCAAACAAUGUCAGCUCCUCAUCAAAGGCCGAGCAAGCUCAGCUGCUGGACACCGGAAACCUCGUCGUCAGGGGCCAAGGUGAUAUCAUUCUAUGGCAAAGCUUCGAUUCUCCUACUGAUACGUUGCUGCCCAAUCAGAACAUUACUGCGGCUACAAAGUUGGUAUCUACUCAUAGAUUACUUGUUCCUGGGCACUACAGCUUCCAUUUCGAUGAUGCGCAUUUACUCUCACUGUUUGAUGAUCAGAAGGAUAUCUCUUUUAUCUAUUGGCCAAAGCCAGAUCUUACUACCUGGGCAAGGCAAAGAAACCCAUUUAGUACCACCACCAUUGGGCUUCUUGAUAGCUGGGGGUAUUUCCAUGGAAGUGAUAAUUUGACUUUUAAGUCUACUGACUGGGGUCUCGGGAUUAUGAGGAGGCUAACAUUGGAUUAUGAUGGCAACCUUCGAUUAUACAGUCUAGAAAACAGAGAAUGGUCAGUCACAUGGAUAGCAUUUCAGACCUGCUUCGUACACGGUCUGUGCGGUAUGAAUGGAAUAUGUGUGUAUACACCUAGACCUGCUUAUGCAUGCGCCCCUGGACACGAAAUCAUCGACCCAAGUGACCGGAGCAAAGGUUGCCGGCCGAAGUUCAACCUCAGUUGUCAUGGGCAGGAGAUGAAAUUUGUGAAGCUACCCUCCACUGACUUCAUAGCUUAUGAUCAAAGUAAGCUUAGCUUAGUUUCCUUCGAUACUUGCAAGAAGAUAUGCAUGAAUGACUGCAGUUGCAAAGGUUUCUCAUACUGGCAAGGAGGUGGAUCUUGCUAUCCAAAGUCAUCCCUUGUUGGUGGUGUAACCAGCCCAGGUUUACCUGGUUCUAUCUAUCUGAAGCUUCCAAAGACAUUACAGGUCUCAGGGUCCUCAAUUCCUCAAUCACAGCCUUUUGGUCUCAGAUAUGCUCCUAACUGUAGCGCAAACAACAAGUAUUUCACUGCAGAUUUUCUGGAUAUACCUAAGAGCAGUCGGAGUGGAUCAAAGUACUUGUACUUCUAUGGGUUCUUAUCAGCGAUAUUUUGUGUGGAGGUAAUGUUUGUGGCAUUAGGAUGCUGGUUUAUGUUGAGAUUGGAGGGCAAGCAGUUAACAGGAGUAUGGCCAGCUGAGGUUGGCUAUGAGAUGAUAACCAACCACUUCCGGAGAUAUACUUACAAGGAGUUGCAGAGAGCAACUCGGAAGUUCAAGUAUCAGAUUGGGAGGGGCGCAUCUGGUCUUGUGUACAGGGGGGUCUUAAAAGACAAGAGGGCAGUAGCAGUGAAAAGGUUGGCAGACAUAAACCAGGGAGAAGAAGAAUUCCAACAUGAAUUGAGUGUGAUUGGAAAGAUUUACCAUAUGAAUCUGGUGAGGGUUUGGGGAUUCUGUUCUGAUGGUCCCCACAGGAUAUUGGUUUUAGAGUAUGUUGAGAAUGGUUCGUUGGAUAAAACCCUGUUUAGUGGAAAGGGCUCACAGAUAUUACUUGAAUGGAAUGAAAGAUUUAAGAUUGCUCUAGGGGUGGCAAAAGGAUUGGCUUAUCUUCAUCAUGAGUGCUUGGAGUGGGUUAUACACUGCGACCUCAAGCCUGAGAACAUACUGUUGGAUGAGAACUUGGAGCCAAAGAUCACAGACUUUGGCCUCGCAAAACUUCUGAAUAGGGGCGGAUCCAACAAAAAAGUAUCGCGGAUCCAUGGAACUAGAGGUUAUAUAGCUCCCGAGUGGGUUUCUAGCCUCCCAAUAACAGCAAAGGUUGAUGUCUACAGCUUUGGAGUGGUUCUCCUAGAACUACUGAAGGGGGCUCGUGUUUCAGACUGGGCUUCAAAUGCUGACGAAGAAGUGGAAAUGGUCCUUCGAAGGGUUGUUAGGAUGCUUGCAGAAAAUCUGAUGCUGGAGGGUAGCAAACAGUUAUGGAUCGCUGACUUCAUUGACUCCAGGUUGAACCGCCAGUUCAAUAACCUGCAGGCAAGAACAAUGAUCAAGUUAGCUGUUUCAUGCGUAGAGGAAGAUAGUAGAAAAAGACCCACCAUGGAAAAUGCUGUGCAGAUGCUUCUUUCAGUUGAUGAAGCCAGUGGCAUAAUGCAGCAGUAUUCUACCAACUGA
Molecule: ribosomal RNA, 2433 nt
Filed under: Triticum aestivum (bread wheat)
Lineage: Eukaryota; Viridiplantae; Streptophyta; Magnoliopsida; Poales; Poaceae
Description: partial small subunit ribosomal RNA
Source: RNAcentral